GUUUUAGUAUUGAAGUCGUGUUCAAUUGAUUAGAGAAACGUUAUGUUUUAUACUGGCUGUGUUUUAUUAUGUUUGUUAGUACAUACUCUUAUUGACACUGUGGGCAUACCCAUUGCUAGAUCACGAUUAGUCCAGACUGGACUUAGAGCCAAAUUUCUAAGACAAGGGGUUGAAACUACAGAAGACCCGGAAGACCCGGCACAGAAAAACUGUAUAUGUUCUCAAAUAUACGAUCCAGUAUGCGCGUCGAACAAUCAAUCUUACAACAAUUUGUGCCUAAUGUCAGAAUAAACCUGG
Long non-coding RNA from Leptidea sinapis, 297 nucleotides. RefSeq lists it as uncharacterized. NCBI's taxonomy places the organism in Eukaryota, Metazoa, Arthropoda, Insecta, Lepidoptera, Pieridae. The record is from RefSeq and is a predicted model, not a curated record. The transcript has 3 exons.